RNAcentral lists this ribosomal RNA (385 nucleotides) under Rhaphidosomini sp. 00004610. Its description in RNAcentral is "eukaryotic LSU rRNA". It matches the Rfam family "Eukaryotic large subunit ribosomal RNA", at positions 727 to 1048 of the family's 3401-position model. Lineage: Eukaryota; Metazoa; Arthropoda; Insecta; Hemiptera; Reduviidae. The record is from RNAcentral.
AUUUCUUUUUUUUUAUAACUCUCUUGAGGGAAGAUGAAAAUUUAAUUAAUAAUAUAUUUUAUAUUAUUAAUAUAAAUUUUUCGCAUUCCCAGGGCGCUUGUUUCACGCUUUGCGUGUCAAUGCGCACCUAGAGCGUACACGCUGAUACCCGAAAGAUGGUGAAGUAUGCCUGGCCAGGACGAAGCCAGGGGAAACCCUGGUGGAGGUCCGCAGCGAUUCUGACGUGCAAAUCGAUCGUCGGAGCUGGGUAUAGGGGCGAAAGACCAAUCGAACCAUCUAGUAGCUGGUUCCCUCUGAAGUUUCCCUCAGGAUAGCUUGCGCUCGGUUGAGAAGAGUCUCAUCCGGUAGAGCGAAUGAUUAGAGGCAUUGGGGUCGAAACGACCUC